CACGUAGGGCGCAAGCGUUGUCCGGAAUUAUUGGGCGUAAAGAGCUCGUAGGCGGUGUGUCGCGUCGGCCGUGAAAACCUGCAGCUUAACUGUGGGCUUGCGGUCGAUACGGGCAUCACUGGAGUUCGGCAGGGGAGGCUGGAAUUCCUGGUGUAGCGGUGAAAUGCGCAGAUAUCAGGAGGAACACCGGUGGCGAAGGCGGGUCUCUGGGCCGUAACUGACGCUGAGGCGCGAAAGCCAGGGGAGCAAACGGG
This 254-nucleotide ribosomal RNA is filed under the name uncultured bacterium. RNAcentral's name for it is "partial 16S ribosomal RNA". It matches the Rfam family "Bacterial small subunit ribosomal RNA", at positions 524 to 776 of the family's 1533-position model. The record is from RNAcentral.